CGGGUGGCUGCACCAGUGGGGAAUAUUGCACAAUGGAGGAAACUCUGAUGCAGCAACGCCGCGUGGAGGAUGACACUUUUCGGAGCGUAAACUCCUUUUAUAUAGGAAGAAGAUGACGGUACUAUAUGAAUAAGCGCCGGCUAACUCCGUGCCAGCAGCCGCGGUAAUACGGAGGGCGCAAGCGUUACUCGGAAUCACUGGGCGUAAAGAGCGCGUAGGCGGAUUAAAAAGUCAGAAGUGAAAUCCUAUAGCUUAACUAUAGAACUGCUUCUGAAACUCUUAAUCUAGAAUAUGGGAGAGGUAGAUGGAAUUUCUGGUGUAGGGGUAAAAUCCGUAGAGAUCAGAAGGAAUACCGAUUGCGAAGGCGAUCUACUAGAACAUUAUUGACGCUGAGACGCGAAAGCGUGGGGAGCAAACAGGAUUAGAUACCCUCGUAGUC
RNAcentral lists this ribosomal RNA (439 nucleotides) under uncultured bacterium. Its description in RNAcentral is "partial 16S ribosomal RNA". It matches the Rfam family "Bacterial small subunit ribosomal RNA", at positions 342 to 795 of the family's 1533-position model. The record is from RNAcentral.